Molecule: ribosomal RNA, 560 nt
Filed under: uncultured Gammaproteobacteria bacterium
Lineage: Bacteria; Pseudomonadati; Pseudomonadota; Gammaproteobacteria
Description: bacterial SSU rRNA
Rfam family: Bacterial small subunit ribosomal RNA
Source: RNAcentral
UCGAGCGCGAAAGGCCUUCGGGCUGAGUAGAGCGGCGGACGGGUGAGUAACGCGUAGGAAUCUACCUGGUAGUGGGGGACAACAUGGUGAAAACCAUGCUAAUACCGCAUACGCCCUAAGGGGGAAAGCGGGGGACCUUCGGGCCUCGCGCUAUCAGAUGAGCCUGCGUAGGAUUAGCUUGUUGGUGAGGUAAAGGCUCACCAAGGCGACGAUCCUUAGCUGGUCUGAGAGGAUGAUCAGCCACACUGGAACUGAGACACGGUCCAGACUCCUACGGGAGGCAGCAGUGGGGAAUAUUGCGCAAUGGGCGAAAGCCUGACGCAGCCAUGUCGCGUGUGUGAAGAAGGCCUUCGGGUUGUAAAGCACUUUCAAUUGGGAAGAAAGGUUGCGUGUUAAUAGCACGUAGCUGUGACGUUACCUUUAGAAGAAGCACCGGCUAACUCCGUGCCAGCAGCCGCGGUAAUACGGAGGGUGCGAGCGUUAAUCGGAAUUACUGGGCGUAAAGCGCGCGUAGGCGGUUUGUUAAGUCGGAUGUGAAAUCCCCGGGCUCAACCUGGGAA